Molecule: ribosomal RNA, 523 nt
Filed under: uncultured bacterium
Lineage: Bacteria
Description: bacterial SSU rRNA
Rfam family: Bacterial small subunit ribosomal RNA
Source: RNAcentral
GUCAGGACGAACGCUGGCGGCGUGCCUAAUACAUGCAAGUCGAACGGUCUUUCUAUGGAAGCUUGCUUCCACUGAGAAGAUAGUGGCGAACGGGUGAGUAACACGUGGGUAACCUGCCCAUAAGAGGGGGGAUAACAUCCGGAAACGGGUGCUAAUACCGCAUAGUUUUCUUGAUCGCAUGAUCGGGAAAGGAAAGACGGCCUUUGUGCUGUCGCUUAUGGAUGGACCCGCGGCGUAUUAGUUAGUUGGUGAGGUAACGGCUCACCAAGACGAUGAUACGUAGCCGACCUGAGAGGGUGAUCGGCCACAUUGGGACUGAGACACGGCCCAAACUCCUACGGGAGGCAGCAGUAGGGAAUCUUCCGCAAUGGACGAAAGUCUGACGGAGCAACGCCGCGUGAGUGAAGAAAGGUUUUCGGAUCGUAAAACUCUGUUGUCAGAGAAGAACAAGUUGGAGAGUAACUGCUCCAGCCUUGACGGUAUCUGACCAGAAAGCCACGGCUAACUACGUGCCAGCAGCGGC